RNAcentral lists this non-coding RNA (100 nucleotides) under Clostridium sp. Its description in RNAcentral is "Guanine sequence". It matches the Rfam family "Purine riboswitch aptamer". From Rfam's summary of the family: Riboswitches are metabolite binding domains within certain messenger RNAs that serve as precision sensors for their corresponding targets. RNAcentral also lists the same sequence under 1 other name. The record is from RNAcentral. Lineage: Bacteria; Bacillati; Bacillota; Clostridia; Eubacteriales; Clostridiaceae.
UAUGAAAAUUAAGAAAGAAUCCAUAUAUGUCUGAUAUGAUGGUUCAGAUGUUUCUACGGAACACCGAUAAAGUUCCACUAUGGAUAAUCUUCUGGAAUGA